RNAcentral lists this ribosomal RNA (305 nucleotides) under uncultured bacterium. Its description in RNAcentral is "partial 16S ribosomal RNA". It matches the Rfam family "Bacterial small subunit ribosomal RNA", at positions 508 to 807 of the family's 1533-position model. The record is from RNAcentral.
ACAGCAGUCGCCGCGGUAAUACGGAGGGUGCAAGCGUUAUUCGGAAUUACUGGGCGUAAAGCGCACGCAGGCGGUUGCCCAAGUCAGAUGUGAAAGCCCCGGGCUUAACCUGGGAACUGCAUUUGAAACUGGGCGACUAGAGCAUGAAAGAGGAAAGCGGAAUUUCCAGUGUAGCAGUGAAAUGCGUAGAUAUUGGAAGGAACACCGAUGGCGAAGGCAGCUUUCUGGGUCGAUACUGACGCUCAUGUGCGAAAGCGUGGGGAGCAAACAGGAUUAGAUACCCCUGUAGUCCCUGUCUCUUAUAC